GACGAACGCUGGCGGCGUGCUUAACACAUGCAAGUCGAACGGAAAGGCCUGCUUUCCCUUGUGGAUUGCGGGUACUCGAGUGGCGAACGGGUGAGUAACACGUGAGUGAUCUGCCCCAAACUUGGGUAUAAGCCUGGGAAACUGGGUCUAAUUCCCGAUAGGACUGCAGGGUGGUGCCUGUGGUGGAAAACGAUUUUCUAGUGGUUGGGGAUGAGCUCGCGGCCUAUCAGCUUGUUGGUGGGGUAAUGGCCUACCAAGGCGGCGACGGGUAGCCGGCCUGAGAGGGUGGACGGCCACAUUGGGACUGAGAUACGGCCCAGACUCCUACGGGAGGCAGCAGUGGGGAAUAUUGCACAAUGGGCGGAAGCCUGAUGCAGCGACGCCGCGUGGGGGAUGACGGCCUUCGGGUGGUAAACUCCUUUCGACCGCGAGGAAGCCACCUGGUUGGAAGGGUGGUGACGGUAGUGGUAGAAGAAGCACCGGCUAACUACGUG
RNAcentral lists this ribosomal RNA (494 nucleotides) under uncultured bacterium. RNAcentral describes it as "partial 16S ribosomal RNA". It matches the Rfam family "Bacterial small subunit ribosomal RNA", at positions 28 to 507 of the family's 1533-position model. The record is from RNAcentral.